This 276-nucleotide long non-coding RNA is filed under the name Canis lupus familiaris (dog). Its description in RNAcentral is "lncRNA (ENSCAFG00030001826.1)". Lineage: Eukaryota; Metazoa; Chordata; Mammalia; Carnivora; Canidae. The record is from RNAcentral.
AUGGUCGUUUGUCUGUGUUGUGUCCUGAGCACUGAAUGGGGUCACCUGGGGAUCCUGGAACUAGAGCUCCUCUCCCAGCUGCAGGGUUGGGGCUGGGCUUAUUUAAUCAAUGGAGGGAGGGCCCUAUUUGCAUGUCCCCUGACUAUAUAUUCACCUACCAACUUAGAUUCAAUUAUUAAUACGUUAUAUACAAAGAUUGCUUCACAACCCCACAUCAGUUUCUUUUGGUUUCACAGUGGAUUUAUGAUGUUCUAAUCCAUCAACGUAUUUAUCUUU